RNAcentral lists this transfer RNA (75 nucleotides) under Prosthecobacter sp. Its description in RNAcentral is "tRNA-Val". It matches the Rfam family "tRNA". From Rfam's summary of the family: Transfer RNA (tRNA) molecules are approximately 80 nucleotides in length. Their secondary structure includes four short double-helical elements and three loops (D, anti-codon, and T loops). The record is from RNAcentral. Lineage: Bacteria; Pseudomonadati; Verrucomicrobiota; Verrucomicrobiia; Verrucomicrobiales; Verrucomicrobiaceae.
GCGCGCUUAGCUCAGUGGUAGAGCAUUGCCUUCACACGGCAAGGGUCGCAGGUUCGAACCCUGCAGCGCGCACCA